This 1460-nucleotide ribosomal RNA is filed under the name Weissella confusa. RNAcentral's name for it is "bacterial SSU rRNA". It matches the Rfam family "Bacterial small subunit ribosomal RNA". Lineage: Bacteria; Bacillati; Bacillota; Bacilli; Lactobacillales; Lactobacillaceae. The record is from RNAcentral.
UGUUGGGGGCGCCUAAUACAUGCAAGUCGAACGCUUUGUGGUUCAACUGAUUUGAAGAGCUUGCUCAGAUAUGACGAUGGACAUUGCAAAGAGUGGCGAACGGGUGAGUAACACGUGGGAAACCUACCUCUUAGCAGGGGAUAACAUUUGGAAACAGAUGCUAAUACCGUAUAACAAUGACAACCGCAUGGUUGUUAUUUAAAAGAUGGUUCUGCUAUCACUAAGAGAUGGUCCCGCGGUGCAUUAGCUAGUUGGUAAGGUAAUGGCUUACCAAGGCGAUGAUGCAUAGCCGAGUUGAGAGACUGAUCGGCCACAAUGGGACUGAGACACGGCCCAUACUCCUACGGGAGGCAGCAGUAGGGAAUCUUCCACAAUGGGCGAAAGCCUGAUGGAGCAACGCCGCGUGUGUGAUGAAGGGUUUCGGCUCGUAAAACACUGUUGUAAGAGAAGAAUGACAUUGAGAGUAACUGUUCAAUGUGUGACGGUAUCUUACCAGAAAGGAACGGCUAAAUACGUGCCAGCAGCCGCGGUAAUACGUAUGUUCCAAGCGUUAUCCGGAUUUAUUGGGCGUAAAGCGAGCGCAGACGGUUAUUUAAGUCUGAAGUGAAAGCCCUCAGCUCAACUGAGGAAUUGCUUUGGAAACUGGAUGACUUGAGUGCAGUAGAGGAAAGUGGAACUCCAUGUGUAGCGGUGAAAUGCGUAGAUAUAUGGAAGAACACCAGUGGCGAAGGCGGCUUUCUGGACUGUAACUGACGUUGAGGCUCGAAAGUGUGGGUAGCAAACAGGAUUAGAUACCCUGGUAGUCCACACCGUAAACGAUGAGUGCUAGGUGUUUGAGGGUUUCCGCCCUUAAGUGCCGCAGCUAACGCAUUAAGCACUCCGCCUGGGGAGUACGACCGCAAGGUUGAAACUCAAAGGAAUUGACGGGGACCCGCACAAGCGGUGGAGCAUGUGGUUUAAUUCGAAGCAACGCGAAGAACCUUACCAGGUCUUGACAUCCCUUGACAACUCCAGAGAUGGAGCGUUCCCUUCGGGGACAAGGUGACAGGUGGUGCAUGGUUGUCGUCAGCUCGUGUCGUGAGAUGUUGGGUUAAGUCCCGCAACGAGCGCAACCCUUAUUACUAGUUGCCAGCAUUCAGUUGGGCACUCUAGUGAGACUGCCGGUGACAAACCGGAGGAAGGUGGGGAUGACGUCAAAUCAUCAUGCCCCUUAUGACCUGGGCUACACACGUGCUACAAUGGCGUAUACAACGAGUUGCCAACCCGCGAGGGUGAGCUAAUCUCUUAAAGUACGUCUCAGUUCGGAUUGUAGGCUGCAACUCGCCUACAUGAAGUCGGAAUCGCUAGUAAUCGCGGAUCAGCACGCCGCGGUGAAUACGUUCCCGGGUCUUGUACACACCGCCCGUCACACCAUGAGAGUUUGUAACACCCAAAGCCGGUGGGGUUAACCUUUUUCGGGG